UACGGAGGGUGCAAGCGUUAUCCGGAUUCACUGGGUUUAAAGGGUGCGUAGGUGGGUCUGUAAGUCCGUGGUGAAAUCUCCGAGCUUAACUUGGAAACUGCCAUGGAUACUAUAGGUCUUGAAUACUGUGGAGGUUAGCGGAAUAUGUCAUGUAGCGGUGAAAUGCUUAGAUAUGACAUAGAACACCAAUUGCGAAGGCAGCUGGCUACACAAAUAUUGACACUGAGGCACGAAAGCGUGGGGAUCAAACAGG
RNAcentral lists this ribosomal RNA (253 nucleotides) under uncultured bacterium. RNAcentral describes it as "partial 16S ribosomal RNA". It matches the Rfam family "Bacterial small subunit ribosomal RNA", at positions 524 to 776 of the family's 1533-position model. The record is from RNAcentral.